UACGUAGGGGGCAAGCGUUGUCCGGAUUUAUUGGGCGUAAAGAGCGUGUAGGCGGCUGGGUAGGUCCGUUGUGAAAGUCGGGGGCUCAACCCUCGGAUGCCGGUGGAUACUGUCGGGCUUGAGUACGGAAGAGGCGAGUGGAAUUCCUGGUGUAGCGGUGAAAUGCGCAGAUAUCAGGAGGAACACCAAUUGCGAAGGCAGCUCGCUGGGACGUUACUGACGCUGAGACGCGAAAGCGUGGGGAGCAAACAGG
RNAcentral lists this ribosomal RNA (253 nucleotides) under uncultured bacterium. RNAcentral describes it as "partial 16S ribosomal RNA". It matches the Rfam family "Bacterial small subunit ribosomal RNA", at positions 524 to 776 of the family's 1533-position model. The record is from RNAcentral.